Molecule: long non-coding RNA, 1104 nt
Filed under: Felis catus (domestic cat)
Lineage: Eukaryota; Metazoa; Chordata; Mammalia; Carnivora; Felidae
Description: lncRNA (ENSFCAG00000052304.1)
Source: RNAcentral
CCUCUGUCACGCUAAUACGUUAUGUCAGUCUAGGGCACGGAUGUUUCCAUGCAGGCGAUUUUGACAGCAAUCACCAUACCAAGCUAUUAUGAAGUGUGAUGUCAGUGCGUUCUGGAGGACGGAUAAUAUAUAAGCCAGUUCUUGACACGCUAUCUUACAAGGAAACAUCUGAGACCAUCAGGAAGAGGCAUUUUAAUUCACACACCAAAAAUAUUUUGUGUUUGGUUGACAUCUUUCAAAAUGCUGAAAGAGGUCCUUUCAAGCACGGAUCGCAGUGCCCAGUGGUCAAUACCCUUACUUUUAUCCAGUGUCUGCUUCAUUUAAACUUAAUCAACUCCAUCAACGAACUGGAACAGGGAAACGUCCCUGCGGUAAGAAUGUUGUGCUUUUGUGGGAUAAUUCUUUGCUCUUUCCCGAUCCGUUGCCGUUAAACCUAAAAUUGCACUAUGAUGAACUUUUUUUUUUUAAUCAAUAUGAUAAUGACAAUUGGGCCUGAAUGCUCUGGUAGGACUUAGACUUGAGCUGAAUCUGGUUUCCAUCACUAAAACAACUUCUGGUCCUAUGAUAGUCCGCCUCCUUUUGUGUGGCUUUAAUACCUUUUCUUCCCUGACAUUGAAUAUUGCUCAAGCUGGAAAAUGAUGCAUCUUUGUAGGGAAGGCUCAUAUGUCACAGCCAGAAAGUGAAGCAGACCGAUUGGUUGUGUGAAUUAUCUGACUUGCUGCAGUGAAUUAUUUGCACUGUUUCCCUACCUAGUCAACAAGUUCCUGAGGUAUAGUAGAGAUCAAUCAAAACUGACAGCCUGCAUGUGAAGGCUUUACUGUGUAAAUCUGGCGCACUCAUCCUAGCCAUGCCGGCCCUGGCAUCUGUAUAUCAUUUUUAUACUGCUACCAGUAGAGCAAUUUCAAAAGUAUUUGCAAGGAAAAUGCGUGUCCCCAUCUGUUCCUAGAAGCAUAAAUGUGCCACCUUCAGAGGGUUUUCACUGGUAAUCAUAUCUUUAAUGAUCAACAGACUAGUGAUAUAUAUUUUUCCAUAAAAUGGGGUUUUCUUCACUUUAUUGUGAUUGGCUAGAAUAAAUAGCUUUUCCAUAUGUUCGGGAGAUAAAAU